UAAAUUUCUUUCAUUUUUCAUAACUAAGCUAACGAAAUAUAUGAAUUUAUAUAUGAAUUUAUAUAUGAAUUUUUCUUACGCAGGACUAGGCGGCCGAUGAUUUCCAGGACUUUCGAGAAUGAGAGGAUCGUGUUCAGGAUAUCUCGAAGUUGGCAUCACAAUUGGUUGGCUGGUGGUACACGAAUGAGUAGAAAAAAGGAAGAAGUGAUAAAAUAUAAAAAUAGCAGAGUUACUCGCCAGAAGUCCAGCACGAUCGGCGACACUAUCCUUGUCUACUCCAGUGACAUAUAUUCCAAGGCCAUAUUCGAGACCACCUCUGAUCAUAAGACCAAGAGAUUGGCCUGGUUCGAUGCAUAGUUCGACCUUUCGCGUUCGUGGUCCAUAUCGGGAAUCUCGGGAGGAAUAAAAAGGUGGCGGAGAAGCUGGUCUUCCUUGACGGUCCAUCCAACUGCAGGAUUGUUGACGACCCGAAGAUGGCCAAACAGGAUGACCAACUCUGCAACGGGGAUCUAAUGCCGGUCCACGUACCGUCAUACUCAAAGUCCUACAGGAUUUCAGCAUCUAUUUCGAAGAAAACAUUUUGUUCUUUAUUUAUUGAAAAAAAAAAAAAAGAAAUAAAGAAAUGUCUGCAAUGAA
Long non-coding RNA from Vespa velutina, 636 nucleotides. RefSeq lists it as uncharacterized. The transcript has 2 exons. Lineage: Eukaryota; Metazoa; Arthropoda; Insecta; Hymenoptera; Vespidae. The record is from RefSeq and is a predicted model, not a curated record.